AAACUAAUUUAAUCUGACGGCAUUUCAUUUAAUUAGAGGAAUUUGUCCUUUAAUCGACAAUCCACGUUAAAUUUCACUUUAAUAUAAAAUUUAUAUACCACCAUCUUAAGAAUAAAUUAAAAAAUAUUUCUCUAAAAAAUUAAUAAAAAGUUAGGUCAAGGUGUAAUUCACAUUAAAGAAUGAGAUGAAUUACAUUAAAUAUUAUUUAAAGAUUAUAAAUAAUAUAUUUAUAUAAAUAAGAAUUUAAAAGUAAUAUAUUCAAUAAUAAUAAAAUAUGAUUCAAAUAAUAAAUGUGUACACAUCGCCC
This 307-nucleotide ribosomal RNA is filed under the name Draconarius sp. ZZ934. RNAcentral's name for it is "partial 12S ribosomal RNA". Lineage: Eukaryota; Metazoa; Arthropoda; Arachnida; Araneae; Agelenidae. The record is from RNAcentral.